CACUAAGAAGCUUUAACGGUCAUAAGCAUUAGCCUUUUAAGCUAAAAAUUGGUGACUACCACCCACCCUUAGUGG
Molecule: non-coding RNA, 75 nt
Organism: Betta splendens (Siamese fighting fish)
Lineage: Eukaryota; Metazoa; Chordata; Actinopteri; Anabantiformes; Osphronemidae
Source: the annotation of a RefSeq genome assembly